CCUACGGGAGGCAGCAGUGAGGAAUAUUGGUCAAUGGACGAAAGUCUGAACCAGCCAUGCCGCGUGCAGGAAGACGGCUCUAUGAGUUGUAAACUGCUUUUGUACGAGUGUAAACGCAGAUACGCGUCUAUUUCUGACAGUAUCGUACGAAUAAGCAUCGGCUAACUCCGUGCCAGCAGCCGCGGUAAUACGGAGGAUUCAAGCGUUAUCCGGCUUUAUUGGGUUUAAAGGGUGCGUAGGCAGUCGGAUAAUGUCAAUGUGAAAUCCCGGGGCUCAACUUCGGAAUUGCCUCUGAUACUGUUCGCCUAGAGAGUAGUUGCGGUAGGCGGAAUGUAUGGUGUAGCGGUGAAAUGCUUAGAUAUCAUACAGAACACCGAUUGCGAAGGCAGCUUACCAAGCUACUUCUGACGUUGAGGCACGAAAGCGUGGGGAGCAAACAGGAUUAGAUACCCCGGUAGUC
Molecule: ribosomal RNA, 460 nt
Filed under: uncultured bacterium
Lineage: Bacteria
Description: partial 16S ribosomal RNA
Rfam family: Bacterial small subunit ribosomal RNA
Source: RNAcentral